RNAcentral lists this transfer RNA (70 nucleotides) under Camelus bactrianus (Bactrian camel). It matches the Rfam family "tRNA". Rfam says of the family: Transfer RNA (tRNA) molecules are approximately 80 nucleotides in length. Their secondary structure includes four short double-helical elements and three loops (D, anti-codon, and T loops). Lineage: Eukaryota; Metazoa; Chordata; Mammalia; Artiodactyla; Camelidae. The record is from Rfam by way of RNAcentral. RNAcentral also lists the same sequence under 3 other names.
GCUAUAGCUCAGUGGUGGAGCAUGUGCUUGAUAUGCACAAGGUCCUGGGUUCAAUCCCCCCAUACUUGCA